Salvia splendens (bonfire salvia) is the source of this 1858-nucleotide long non-coding RNA. RefSeq lists it as uncharacterized. Lineage: Eukaryota; Viridiplantae; Streptophyta; Magnoliopsida; Lamiales; Lamiaceae. The transcript is spliced from 2 exons. The record is from RefSeq and is a predicted model, not a curated record.
UUCUUCCCUAUAUUUUCCCAAAAUAUCGACAGCCCCUCUUCCUCCCUCCAUAAACACUUUCUUCAUAAAAUCUCAUCUUUAUUUAUGAAUUGAUGAAACAAUUGCAUGAUUGGAUUAUUUUGGAGGAUAGAAAAAAAGAUUGGCGAAAGAAGAAACGAUAAAUGGAAAGGUUUGGAAAUAAACGCUGUCCAGGUAGCAUGCUCAACACUUAAAGCCCAAUUCUCUUAUGUGUUUUUAUGUGAAAGUUAAAUGUCCUUAUGUGCUCUAUGUGAUUAUAUGUGAAUAUGUGAAUUAAUUAUGGAAUAAGAGACUAAUAAGUAAACUAUGAAAAUAUGAUGAAUGGGUUGUAUUCAGAUUCAUAAGUUAAAUAGUGUUAAAAAUCAAAACACUUGUAGUCCAUUGGAUCAUGUGAUCUAAUGGUCAGAUUAAUGCCACGUGUCAUGUAGUAAUAUAGAUUAUUAGUCUAAUAAUGUAACUUAGCUAAUAAUGUACAAUUUUAGUAAAAUAAUGUACCAUUUUAUUAUAAUAAUGUACCUCGGCUAGUAAUGUACCAUCUUAGACUAAAAAUGUAAUUUAUCACAACCAUCCAAUCUAAGGAUCCAAGGGCUUAGAUUUGCUUUGAUUUUUGACAGAAUUUCACUUAUUGACCAUAGCGCGCCCCUAUGAUGAAUUAUUGCAAAUUUGGCAAUGAAUUAGGAAAAAAGGGAAGAAUACGAGUUUAUGUUAUUCCUCUACUUGUUUGCAUUAGGUUAUAAGAUAAUGUUUUCUGCAUUAGGUUUCAAUUCCUGAAUUAAGUCUAUGUGAUUGCAUAUAUAAUAUUGCGUGCCAAUUAGUAAUAAAUAUAUGAUCAGAAUAUGUUGCUUAUCAUAUGAAAUAUGUGAAUUCUGGAUAUGUGAUGGUAUUGAGAGAGUUAGAAUUUAAUCAGUUAAGUUGAUAUAAUAUGGAUGACAACAAGUUGUUGAUGUGUAACGUUAGAGAUUAUUGGAAAUAAAGAAGUAAGUAAUUUGAUGUAAAUGAGUAUAAUUGACUGUGUGUACGCCCCGUGCUCAAGUGUAUUCUGUGGGUACAAUUGGCAUGCCAUAGGACAGUAGCGCUGCAAUAGCUGCAAUCAUUCGUCUUCUAGAUAACCGAAGCGAGGAUCGUCUCUGUCUCUGAUCUGAUCUUUGUCUCUGAUUUAUCCGGUAUCUGUGAUCUCUGAUCUUUGUCUCUGGCUGCACCCUAAAUGGGUGGUCUGUGCGGAGUCCUCUCGAGGACAAAUUCCGCUCUGUAUCUGAUUCUGUUUCUGAUUUGGUGAAAUUUCGUGAUGAUGUCAAUCAAAUUAGAUGACGAUAUAUGUGAUAUAUGAGUUUAUUUGAAAUAUCUGUUAUAAUGUGAUAUAAACAUUGAAAACCCGAGAACUUGAAAUUGGAUUCUGUUAUGAUAUAAAUAUUGAAAACCUGAGAACUUGCUGAGAAUGGUUAUGUCAUGAGUUAAGAAUUCGUAUUACCAUGCACUUUCUAGACACGUAGUUUGGAAUUUGAUGUCGUGGAUGAAGAUUUGACUGUUGGUAUGUGUAUGUUGAUAUGCUCGGUUACUGAAUAAGUAAAUCGCUAAUGAGGUAAAAGUAAUUCGAAAUAUUUGGCUAUUUUAGUAUAAUUUUAGUGGAUUACUAAUAUUUAUCUAGAAUUUUAGUAUAAUUUUGUCAUUUUCAACUAAAUUCUUUGAACAACACUACUAUCUAUUUUAUUCUAGAUAUAUAGGGACUAGCUAGAGCGGAGGGAUUCCGUUAAUGGAACAUAUUGAGAUUUCAUGUAGAAUUCCUUGGCGUCGUCUAAAUCAUUUAUGGUUUUAUUCUUCGAAUAAAUAAAUUUCAAUAGCU